GACGAACGCUGGCGGCGUGCUUAACACAUGCAAGUCGAGCGGUAAGGCCCUUUCGGGGGUACGACGAGCGGCGAACGGGUGAGUAACACGUGGGUGACCUGCCCUCAGCUCUGGGAUAAGCCUGGGAAACCGGGUCUAAUACCGGAUAUGACUCCAUGACGCAUGUUGUGGGGUGGAAAGCCUUGUGCGGCUGAGGAUGGGCCCGCGGCCUAUCAGCUUGUUGGUGGGGNGAUGGCCUACCAAGGCGACGACGGGUAGCCGGCCUGAGAGGGCGACCGGCCACACUGGGACUGAGACACGGCCCAGACUCCUACGGGAGGCAGCAGUGGGGAAUCUUGCGCAAUGGGCGAAAGCCUGACGCAGCGACGCCGCGUGA
RNAcentral lists this ribosomal RNA (376 nucleotides) under uncultured bacterium. Its description in RNAcentral is "bacterial SSU rRNA". It matches the Rfam family "Bacterial small subunit ribosomal RNA", at positions 28 to 404 of the family's 1533-position model. The record is from RNAcentral.